RNAcentral lists this ribosomal RNA (465 nucleotides) under uncultured Nitrospirales bacterium. RNAcentral's name for it is "partial 16S ribosomal RNA". It matches the Rfam family "Bacterial small subunit ribosomal RNA", at positions 338 to 794 of the family's 1533-position model. The record is from RNAcentral. Lineage: Bacteria; Pseudomonadati; Nitrospirota; Nitrospiria; Nitrospirales.
CCUACGGGAGGCAGCAGUGAGGAAUAUUGCUCAAUGGGCGAAAGCCUGAAGCAGCAACGCCGCGUGGGGGAUGAAGGUCUUCGGAUUGUAAACCCCUUUCGACCGGAACGAAUCCCCUCCUGGUGAACAAUCAGGAGGAUCGACGGUACCGGGAGAAGAAGCCACGGCUAACUCUGUGCCAGCAGCCGCGGUAAGACAGAGGUGGCAAGCGUUGUUCGGAUUUACUGGGCGUAAAGCGCACGCAGGCGGUUUGGUAAGUCAGAGGUGAAAGCCCACGGCUUAACCGUGGAAUGGCCUUUGAUACUGCCUUUCUCGAGUGCAGGAGGGGGAAGCGGAAUUCCCAGUGUAGAGGUGAAAUUCGUAGAUAUUGGGAGGAACACCGGUGGCGAAGGCGGCCCUCUGGCGAUUGACUGACGCUGAGGCGCGAAAGCGGGGGGAGCAAACAGGAUUAGAUCCCCGGGUAGU